AUGGAGUCACAGACCCAGGUCCUCAUGUUCCUGCUGCUCUGGGUGUCUGGUGCCUGUGCAGAUAUCAUAAUGACCCAGUCUCCAUCUUCCCUGGCUGUGUCAGUAGGAGAGAAGGUCACCAUCAGCUGCAAGUCCAGUCAGAGUCUUUUAUACAGUGAAAACCAGAAGAGCUACUUGAACUGGUACCAGCAGAAACCAGGGCAAUCUCCUAAACUGCUAGUCUACUGGGCAUCCACUCGGGACUCUGGAGUCCCUGAUCGCUUCAUAGGCAGUGGAUCUGGAACAGACUUCACUCUCACCAUCAGUAGUGUCCAGGCUGAAGACCUGGCAGAUUACUACUGUAUGCAGGAUUAUGAUCCUCCUCCCACAGUGCUUCAGCUGCCAACAAAAUCUUCUCUGAGAGUCUCUCCAGCUGCCUGCACCACACAUAGCCCUGGACAUGCACACUUUCACUUCCCCCCUUCUGCCUGA
Onychomys torridus (southern grasshopper mouse) is the source of this 471-nucleotide non-coding RNA. Lineage: Eukaryota; Metazoa; Chordata; Mammalia; Rodentia; Cricetidae. The record is from the annotation of a RefSeq genome assembly.